CAGCGGAAACACCAAGACGCAUCUGUACAAAAUGUCCAACAAGACAAUGGCCUCUGCGGCCGGUAGCUCAGCGACUUCACCGCUGCCGGUCAUGCCGCCUGCGCUUCGCCAGCUGAUCAUCGCAGUGGAGCGGCUGAACGCUGCCUCUACUUCGCCUUCGGAUGUCGACACCGUUUCAUCUCUAGGGCGGUCGGCAAGGGAGCUCCCAGAGCAGUCCACCUCAGAUCCGCCGGCAGAUAACACUGUCGCACCCACGGUAGAGCUGCUGCGGCAGGUGGAUGCGCUGCAGGAACACUACAGGCGCCUUUUGGAGCUGGCAGAGCAGCCGUACAGCACACAAAAUGCGGCCCACGCUGAGUCACCAUCGGACGGCAGCAGCGACACUGUUGAGGCGCAGGCGGAGAGUCUCAUGACAGAAUUUGAGGCCGCCAUUGUGCAGCUGCAGCGGGGCAUCCGCUCGAAGCAAGCGCAGGCCAUUCGCCUCGUGUUGCUCAACGCGCUGCGGCGCGAAGCCGCUGAGCGGCGCCAGUGCGUGGCGAAGAUGGAAGGUGUCCUGAGCGCCUCCCAUCAGUACGUGCGUCUGUGACGUAGUGCACACCCGCAGGUUCGUGCAUGAUUAAGCGUAUGCUGUUGUGUGCGCAUGAAGAGAAAGAAAGAGGUCCGUCUCUCACGCAAGCACUGAGAAAUGCGGCUCGUUGUUAUUUAGACACCGCCGUGCACCCUCGAUCCCGCGCCUCUUCGCCAUGUCUCGUUGUUCAGCGUCCUCCGUCAUCCCUUUUCGUGCGGCCUUCCACCACCACCACCAUCACCGCCCGCUUCCUCACGUUGGCGGGUGGUGAGGAGGCGCGGCGGCCCCGCAAGGCGAGAUGCUGCCAACAGGAAAAUCACUCUUUUAUGGCCGCUGCCGAGCGAGAGAAGACGCAGGUCACUGUGUCUUGUAAAGCGCGCUCACA
Molecule: unclassified non-coding RNA, 953 nt
Filed under: Leishmania donovani
Lineage: Eukaryota; Euglenozoa; Kinetoplastea; Trypanosomatida; Trypanosomatidae
Description: gene:LdHU3.11.0230(CDS-product:hypothetical_prote in_conserved)
Source: RNAcentral